This is a small nucleolar RNA of 72 nucleotides. Its record names the gene SNORD24. It matches the Rfam family "Small nucleolar RNA SNORD24". Rfam says of the family: U24 is a member of the C/D class of snoRNA which contain the C (UGAUGA) and D (CUGA) box motifs. C/D box snoRNAs have been shown to act as methylation guides for a number of RNA targets. U24 is encoded within an intron of the gene for ribosomal protein L7a in mammals, chicken and Fugu. The record is from Ensembl.
UGCAGAUGAUGUAAAGAAUAUUUGCUAUCCUAACAACGAUGCCGACAGCCAACCACCAAGAUCGCUGAUGCA